Molecule: ribosomal RNA, 1544 nt
Filed under: Caviibacterium pharyngocola
Lineage: Bacteria; Pseudomonadati; Pseudomonadota; Gammaproteobacteria; Pasteurellales; Pasteurellaceae
Description: bacterial SSU rRNA
Rfam family: Bacterial small subunit ribosomal RNA
Source: RNAcentral
UUGAAUUGAAGAGUUUGAUCAUGGCUCAGAUUGAACGCUGGCGGCAGGCUUAACACAUGCAAGUCGAACGGUAGCAGGAGAAAGCUUGCUUUCUUGCUGACGAGUGGCGGACGGGUGAGUAAUGCUUGGGAAUCUGGCUUAUGGAGGGGGAUAACUACGGGAAACUGUAGCUAAUACCGCGUAAUAUCUUCGGAUUAAAGACUGGGAACUUCGGUCCAGUUGCCAUAAGAUGAGCCCAAGUGGGAUUAGGUAGUUGGUGGGGUAAAGGCCUACCAAGCCUGCGAUCUCUAGCUGGUCUGAGAGGAUGGCCAGCCACACUGGAACUGAGACACGGUCCAGACUCCUACGGGAGGCAGCAGUGGGGAAUAUUGCACAAUGGGGGGAACCCUGAUGCAGCCAUGCCGCGUGAAUGAAGAAGGCCUUCGGGUUGUAAAGUUCUUUCGGUGAUGAGGAAGGGUGGUGUUUUAAUAGAGCAUCAUAUUGACGUUAGUCACAGAAGAAGCACCGGCUAACUCCGUGCCAGCAGCCGCGGUAAUACGGAGGGUGCGAGCGUUAAUCGGAAUAACUGGGCGUAAAGGGCACGCAGGCGGUUGUUUAAGUGAGAUGUGAAAGCCCCGAGCUUAACUUGGGAAUUGCAUUUCAGACUGGACGACUAGAGUACUUUAGGGAGGGGUAGAAUUCCAUGUGUAGCGGUGAAAUGCGUAGAGAUGUGGAGGAAUACCGAAGGCGAAGGCAGCCCCUUGGGAAUGUACUGACGCUCAUGUGCGAAAGCGUGGGGAGCAAACAGGAUUAGAUACCCUGGUAGUCCACGCUGUAAACGCUGUCGAUUUGGGGAUUGGGCUUUGAGCUUGGUGCCCGUAGUUAACGUGAUAAAUCGACCGCCUGGGGAGUACGGCCGCAAGGUUAAAACUCAAAUGAAUUGACGGGGGCCCGCACAAGCGGUGGAGCAUGUGGUUUAAUUCGAUGCAACGCGAAGAACCUUACCUACUCUUGACAUCCAUGGAAUCUUGUAGAGAUACGAGAGUGCCUUCGGGAACCAUGAGACAGGUGCUGCAUGGCUGUCGUCAGCUCGUGUUGUGAAAUGUUGGGUUAAGUCCCGCAACGAGCGCAACCCUUAUCCUUUGUUGCCAGCGAUUCGGUCGGGAACUCAAAGGAGACUGCCGGUGAUAAACCGGAGGAAGGUGGGGAUGACGUCAAGUCAUCAUGGCCCUUACGAGUAGGGCUACACACGUGCUACAAUGGUGCAUACAGAGGGCGGCGAAGCAGUAAUGCGGAGCGAAUCUCAGAAAGUGCAUCUAAGUCCGGAUUGGCGUCUGCAACUCGACGCCAUGAAGUCGGAAUCGCUAGUAAUCGCAAAUCAGAAUGUUGCGGUGAAUACGUUCCCGGGCCUUGUACACACCGCCCGUCACACCAUGGGAGUGGGUUGUACCAGAAGUAGAUAGCUUAACCGCAAGGGGGGCGUUUACCACGGUAUGAUUCAUGACUGGGGUGAAGUCGUAACAAGGUAACCGUAGGGGAACCUGCGGUUGGAUCACCUCCUUACC